GAUGAACGCUGGCGGCGUGCUUAACACAUGCAAGUCGAACGGUGAACACGGAGCUUGCUCUGUGGGAUCAGUGGCGAACGGGUGAGUAACACGUGAGCAACCUGCCCCUGACUCUGGGAUAAGCGCUGGAAACGGCGUCUAAUACUGGAUAUGUGACGUGACCGCAUGGUCUGCGUUUGGAAAGAUUUUUCGGUUGGGGAUGGGCUCGCGGCCUAUCAGCUUGUUGGUGAGGUAAUGGCUCACCAAGGCGUCGACGGGUAGCCGGCCUGAGAGGGUGACCGGCCACACUGGGAUUGAGACAUGGCCCAGACUCCUACGGGAGGCAGCAGUGGGGAAUAUUGCACAAUGGGCGAAAGCCUGAUGCAGCAACGCCGCGUGAGGGAUGACGGCCUUCGGGUUGUAAACCUUUUUUAGCAGGGAAGAAGCGAAAGUGACGGUACCUGCAGAAAAAGCGCCGGCUAACUACGUG
RNAcentral lists this ribosomal RNA (469 nucleotides) under uncultured bacterium. RNAcentral describes it as "partial 16S ribosomal RNA". It matches the Rfam family "Bacterial small subunit ribosomal RNA", at positions 28 to 507 of the family's 1533-position model. The record is from RNAcentral.